RNAcentral lists this long non-coding RNA (1479 nucleotides) under Cyanistes caeruleus (blue tit). Its description in RNAcentral is "lncRNA (ENSCCEG00000020262.1)". Lineage: Eukaryota; Metazoa; Chordata; Aves; Passeriformes; Paridae. The record is from RNAcentral.
GAAUUUCAUCCCAAUCCCAAAAUCAUUGGAAUUUCAUCCCAAUCCCAAAAUUGCAGGAAUUUCACCCCAAUCCCAAAUCUGUAGGAAUUUCACCCCAAUUUUGGGAAAUUUGGGGAAUUUCACCCCAAUUUUAGGAAUUUCAUCCCAAUUCCAAAAUUUUAGGAAUCUCACCCCAAUCCCAAAAUCGUUGGAAUUUCACCUCAAUCCCAAAACUGCAGGAAUUUCACCCCAAUCCCAAAAUUCCGUGAAUUUCACCCCAAUUCCAGGAAUUUCACCUCAAUCCCAAAACUCCGGGAAUUUCAUCCCAGUCUCAAAAUUCUGGGAAUUUCAUCCCAAUCUCAAAAUUCUGGGAAUUUCACCCCAAUCCCAAAAUUCUCCCCAAUUUAAGGAAUCUCACCCUAAUCCAAAUUUUUGGAACCUCACCCCAAUCCCAAAAAUCCCUUCCCAGCCUCUUUUCCCCAUCAAUUUUCAACCGCCAAUCCCCAAAAAAAAAAAAUCCGGGAAUUCCGCCCCACCCUCCCCUUCCUAAAAUCCCUCAAAAUCCCAAAUUUCCAGCUGGAAAAUUCCCGUUUUUCUCCCUCCAAACCCUUGGAUCAAUCCCAUUUUUUUUCCCUUUUCUCCAUCCCGUUUCUCCCCCGUAAAUCCCAGAUUUUUUUUUUCCCGGGAAUUUCCCAUUUUUCCCGCCGUUAAAUCCCGGGAAUUCGGGGACGCAAUCAGGUCGUAGAAAGCGUAAACCGAUUUAUUUUCCGAUUCUUUUUUUUUUUGUUGUUGCUAUGUACAAGUUUAAUGGAGAAAUCUUGGAAACAAAAAACAAAUCCCCAAAAAAAUAAAAUAAAUAAAAAUCGGGAUUAUCCUGGAAUUUUUUUCCCUGUUUUUUUUUUUGCUUUUUCCGGGUUUUUCCCAUCGGGAUCGUCGCGAUUUUUUUUUGGGGGGGGAAUUUUUACCGACGGCGGCGGCGACGGGAACGGGAAUUUGGGAAUUUUAUUUGGGAUAAAUCGGGAAGGAGGGAACGGUUCCGGUUGGGAUUUUCCUCCUUGGGGAAAAACGGGAAAAUCCCAAAUUUUUUUUUUGGGAUUCGGGACGCGACGGGCGCGGAGCGAAGGAGUCGAACCCGGAGCGGUUCCGGGAAUUCCCAGGAAAACGCUUGGAAAACGGCAACAGCGAAAGGAAAAUGAAAGGGGAGUUCAAAUAAACGAGGAUUCGGGACGCGACGGGCGCGGAGCGGAGGAGUCGAACCCGGAGCGGUUCCGGGAAUUCCCAGGAAAACGCUCGGAAAACGGCAACAGCGAAAGGAAAAUGAAAGGGGAGUUCAAAUAAACGAGGAUUUCCGGAAUUCUGGGAGAUUUUGGGAUGCGAACCCCGAAAUUCGGGAACGAAUCCUGCGGGAAAACGAAAUCCUCUCGGAGACGCCGAAAAAAAUCUUCGGGAAUUUGGGAUUUUUUGGGGGGUUUUUUUGGCUCAAAAAAAGAACAAAAAAUG